Molecule: long non-coding RNA, 227 nt
Filed under: Gossypium barbadense (sea-island cotton)
Lineage: Eukaryota; Viridiplantae; Streptophyta; Magnoliopsida; Malvales; Malvaceae
Description: long non-coding RNA (GBAR_LNC001677)
Source: RNAcentral
UGGCUUAGUGGCAAGAAGUGUGUGGAGCAUCUGAGGGGAGGCAUGGGUUCAAAUCCCAUGGCAAGAUUUGUGGCUAGAUUUGGGCUAAAAGGGCCACACGAGCAUGUGGGCCCAUUUGGGUCGAGAAUAGGCUUUAGGCCCAUUCGUAUUGUUAUCCUUGUUUAGAAUACUUUAGUUUACCAAAUUACUAAAAUGCCCUCAAAUUGUAAAAUUACCAAAGUACCCUC